This 140-nucleotide small RNA is filed under the name Macaca mulatta (Rhesus monkey). Its description in RNAcentral is "Metazoan signal recognition particle RNA (ENSMMUG00000055299.1)". Lineage: Eukaryota; Metazoa; Chordata; Mammalia; Primates; Cercopithecidae. The record is from Rfam by way of RNAcentral.
GCCGGGUGUGGUGGCGCAUGCCUGUAAUCCCAGCUACUUGGGAGGCUGAGGCAGGAGAAUUGCUUGAACCCAGGAGGCAGAGGUUGCAGUGAGCCAAGAUCCUGCCAUUGCCUGGGCAACAGAGCGGGACCCAGUCUCAA